AUAUGACAUGUGUGUGAAUGACAAUUUCUCCAUCUUAUAAAUAGAAUAAAGAAAAGCAGUUUUGGUUUGUGAUUGAAUUGUUAUAGAGUGAAGAGUUGUGGUUUUGGACUUUGAUUACAAUUUUGAAAAGAAUCCGGCUAAUGUUAAUAACAAUAUCAAGAUGAAUAAUGGAAAUGGAUUAAGAUUUGCCAACAAAGAUGAGGAAAUUCAGUAUUGGAAAAAUCUAGCUGAAGAUUAUUUACAAGAUGCUGAAAGGAUACAAAAAGAAUCGGAUGAGUUCAUAACUGAAUCCCAACAAUUAGAUAAGGAAUAUGAAGCCACUAUUGAGCAGAAUGAGAAAAAAAUCAAAGAACUGACACUGGUCAAUAACAGAGCUCAGAACGAAAUAGACUCUUUGAGGAUCAAAGUCGAACAAAUCAAUAAGGAUAAUUGCAACCUUGAGACUGAGAUUACAAAUUUAAGAAAGGAAAAAGUUGAGAUGGCCAAAUGCAUUAGAGAUUUAGAACAAAAAAACGAUGAUUUGGAAAGAUCGAGACGAAUAAUUGAGGCCGCCCUUGCAUCAAUAGAAGCAGCUUUCAAUAGUGAAGUUGAACGAAAUGCUAUUCUCGAAUCUGAGGUGGAUGAGAAAGAGAGCCUCAAAGAGAAAUUGCAGCGAUUUGCGGAUGAAACGAGAGAUUUGAAACAGGAGCUAUUAGUCAGAGAAAAGGGGAAGAUCCCAGAUAAUGAACGAAUAUUGAAUGGAUACAAAAAUUCUGUGGUAGAUUCAAAUCGACUGAGGGAAAACGAAACUCAGACCAGUCCAAUGAAAAAUGACUUCCAAGCUCCAAUUUCACCGGCAUCCAGGGUUAUGGCCUUAAAUAUAGUUAGCGAUCUUAUUAGGAAAGUUGGUUUAUCAAGGUGGCUGUGUUCACAUUGCGGACAAGUUAAGUGUACUGUAUGUCAACCCAACAGUAAAUUGAAGUCGUAGCAACACUUUACCAAGGGCUUAGAACGUAGAUUAGAAAAAUCGAAACUAGACUACAGAGAUAUUUCAAGAAAUGAUAUUAGAAUAAGCAGAAGCUCAGCAAAAAACAGCCCAGCUCCAGGACUACACGGGUUCACAAAAUGAAAGUUCCUACUUUCAGACAAUGUUUCUUCUGAUGUACUACUUAAAAAAAA
Molecule: RNA transcript, 1158 nt
Organism: Leptinotarsa decemlineata (Colorado potato beetle)
Lineage: Eukaryota; Metazoa; Arthropoda; Insecta; Coleoptera; Chrysomelidae
Gene: nudE
Gene name: Nuclear distribution protein nudE
Source: RefSeq, a predicted model, not a curated record